GAGUUUGAUCUUGGCUCAGAUUGAACGCUGGCGGCAGGCCUAACACAUGCAAGUCGAGCGGAUGACGGGAGCUUGCUCCUUGAUUCAGCGGCGGACGGGUGGGUAAUGCCUGGGAAUCUGCCUGGUAGUGGGGGACAACGUUUCGAAAGGAACGCUAAUACCGCAUACGUCCUACGGGAGAAAGCAGGGGACCUUCGGGCCUUGCGCUAUCAGAUGAGCCUAGGUCGGAUUAGCUAGUUGGUGGGGUAAUGGCUCACCAAGGCGACGAUCCGUAACUGGUCUGAGAGGAUGAUCAGUCACACUGGAACUGAGACACGGUCCAGACUCCUACGGGAGGCAGCAGUGGGGAAUAUUGGACAAUGGGCGAAAGCCUGAUCCAGCCAUGCCGCGUGUGUGAAGAAGGUCUUCGGAUUGUAAAGCACUUUAAGUUGGGAGGAAGGGCAGUAAGUUAAUACCUUGCUGUUUUGACGUUACCGACAGAAUAAGCACCGGCUAACUCUGUGCCAGCCGCCGCGGUAA
Molecule: ribosomal RNA, 519 nt
Filed under: bacterium enrichment culture clone ALO1_GLFRUDD03F8N1X
Lineage: Bacteria
Description: bacterial SSU rRNA
Rfam family: Bacterial small subunit ribosomal RNA
Source: RNAcentral